GCCAAAUGAUGUAUUUUGCCUUUCCAAAAUGUAAUUCAUCAUCCAUUCAUUUGGGUUAGUAUCCCCAUUACAAAAACAAGGUCAUCUCUUUUACAUUUUCUUUAUAUCUUUCUAUUCUGUUUGCCUACCUAUAAGCUAAUUAUUGUGCUUUUCCCCCUAUCUACAAGGCCUUCACAAUAUGUAAGUUCCAAAAUAUUGCUAUUUACAGCAGGUUCAGCGCAAAUAUUGCAACAGUCACCUUGUGAUUCAUCUUCCACCUCUAGAAGUCAUCAGCUUUGGCCUUUUUGCAGACUGUUCAUCUGAUUCUGAAACCAA
This 315-nucleotide unclassified non-coding RNA is filed under the name Hevea brasiliensis (rubber tree). Lineage: Eukaryota; Viridiplantae; Streptophyta; Magnoliopsida; Malpighiales; Euphorbiaceae. The record is from RNAcentral.